UACGUAGGUGGCAAGCGUUGUCCGGAUUUACUGGGCGUAAAGAGCGCGCAGGCGGUCGUUCAAGUCGCGUGUGAAAGCCCCCGGCUCAACUGGGGAGGGUCACGCGAUACUGAUCGACUGGAAGGCAGGAGAGGGUAGUGGAAUUCCCGGUGUAGUGGUGAAAUGCGUAGAUAUCGGGAGGAACACCAGUGGCGAAGGCGACUGCCUGGCCUGUUCUUGACGCUGAGGCGCGAAAGCUAGGGGAGCAAACGGG
RNAcentral lists this ribosomal RNA (253 nucleotides) under uncultured bacterium. RNAcentral describes it as "partial 16S ribosomal RNA". It matches the Rfam family "Bacterial small subunit ribosomal RNA", at positions 524 to 776 of the family's 1533-position model. The record is from RNAcentral.